AUGGAGGAUAAUUAGUGGCAGACGGGUGAGUAAUGCAUAGGAAUCUACCUAGUAGUAUGGGAUAGCCACUAGAAAUGGUGGGUAAUACUGUAUAAUCCCUGCGGGGGAAAGAUUUAUCGCUAUUAGAUGAGCCUAUGUUAGAUUAGCUAGUUGGUAGGGUAAUGGCCUACCAAGGCGAUGAUCUAUAGCUGGUCUGAGAGGAUGAUCAGCCACACUGGAACUGAGAUACGGUCCAGACUCCUACGGGAGGCAGCAGUGGGGAAUAUUGGACAAUGGGCGCAAGCCUGAUCCAGCUAUGCCGCGUGAGUGAGGAAGGCCUUAGGGUUGUAAAACUCUUUCAGUAGGGAAGAUAAUGACGGUACCUACAGAAGAAGUCCCGGCAAACUCCGUGCCAGCAGCCGCGGUAAUACGGAGGGGGCAAGCGUUGUUCGGAAUUAUUGGGCGUAAAGGGCAUGUAGGCGGUUCGGUAAGUUAAAGGUGAAAUGCCAGGGCUUAAC
RNAcentral lists this ribosomal RNA (497 nucleotides) under Anaplasma phagocytophilum. RNAcentral describes it as "bacterial SSU rRNA". It matches the Rfam family "Bacterial small subunit ribosomal RNA", at positions 81 to 613 of the family's 1533-position model. The record is from RNAcentral. Lineage: Bacteria; Pseudomonadati; Pseudomonadota; Alphaproteobacteria; Rickettsiales; Anaplasmataceae.